ACGUAGGACCCAAGCGUUGUCCGGAUUUACUGGGUAUAAAGGGUGCGCAGGCGGUCGAGUGCGUCAGAGGUGAAAUCUCCGGGCUUAACCCGGAGGGUGCCUUUGAUACGGCUUGACUUGAGUCCGAGAGAGGGUGAUGGAAUUCCUGGUGUAGCGGUGAAAUGCGUAGAUAUCAGGAGGAACACCGGUGGCGAAGGCGGUCACCUGGCUCGGAACUGACGCUCAGGCACGAAAGCGCGGGGAUCAAACAGG
This 252-nucleotide ribosomal RNA is filed under the name uncultured bacterium. Its description in RNAcentral is "partial 16S ribosomal RNA". It matches the Rfam family "Bacterial small subunit ribosomal RNA", at positions 525 to 776 of the family's 1533-position model. The record is from RNAcentral.